CAUAGGUCAGGAUACUGGGCACAGGAAAGUGUAAGGUGGGAAGUUUGACUGGUGCGAUAGCCUCCCAAAAGGUAACGGAGGCGAUGAAAGGUUAUUUCAGUAAGGUCGGAAAUCGUACGUAGAGGGUAAAGGCAAAAGAGAGCUUGAUUGCAAGACAUACAGGUCGAGCAAGGAUGAAAAGCGGACUUAGUGAUCCGGUGGUUCUGCGUGGAAGGGCCAUCGCUCAACGGAUAAAAGCUACCCUGGAGAUAACAGGCUUAUCCCCCCCAAGAGUCCACAUCGACGGGGAGGUUUGGCACCUCGAUGUCGGCUCAUCACAUCCUGGGGCUGUAGUAGGUCCCAAGGGUUGGGCUGUUCGCCCAUUAAAGUGGUACGCGAG
This 379-nucleotide ribosomal RNA is filed under the name Clostridioides difficile. RNAcentral's name for it is "bacterial LSU rRNA". It matches the Rfam family "Bacterial large subunit ribosomal RNA", at positions 2223 to 2604 of the family's 2925-position model. Lineage: Bacteria; Bacillati; Bacillota; Clostridia; Peptostreptococcales; Peptostreptococcaceae. The record is from RNAcentral.